GAGGCCGUAGCGCAGAGGUCGACGCGCCUUGACAGCAAGCUGGAGGACGCCGGUUCGAAUCCGGCCGGUCUCGCCA
This 76-nucleotide transfer RNA is filed under the name Micromonospora citrea. RNAcentral describes it as "tRNA_Pseudo_???". It matches the Rfam family "tRNA". Rfam says of the family: Transfer RNA (tRNA) molecules are approximately 80 nucleotides in length. Their secondary structure includes four short double-helical elements and three loops (D, anti-codon, and T loops). RNAcentral also lists the same sequence under 10 other names. Lineage: Bacteria; Bacillati; Actinomycetota; Actinomycetes; Micromonosporales; Micromonosporaceae. The record is from RNAcentral.